Molecule: ribosomal RNA, 132 nt
Filed under: Octodon degus (degu)
Lineage: Eukaryota; Metazoa; Chordata; Mammalia; Rodentia; Octodontidae
Source: RNAcentral
GUCUACGGCCAUCCCACCCUGAAUGCGCCCGUUCUCAUCUGAUCUCGGAAGCUAAGCAGCGUGGACCCUGGUUAACACUUGGAUGGGAACAUAUAAUAAUCCUAUCACAACAUUCAGAAAAAGCUGCAUGUU